Molecule: ribosomal RNA, 254 nt
Filed under: uncultured bacterium
Lineage: Bacteria
Description: partial 16S ribosomal RNA
Rfam family: Bacterial small subunit ribosomal RNA
Source: RNAcentral
UACGGAGGGGGCGAGCGUUGUCCGAAUUUAUUGGGCGUAAAGCGCGUGUAGGCGGAUGGACAAGCCUGAGGUGAAAGGUUGGGGCUCAACCCCAUACAGUGCCUUGGGGACUGUUCGUCUGGAGGCCGGCAGAGGAGAGUGGAAUUCCUGGUGUAGCGGUGGAAUGCGUAGAGAUCAGGAAGAACACCCAUGGCGAAGGCAGCUCUCUGGGCCGGUACUGACGCUGAGACGCGAAAGCGCGGGGAGUGAACGGG